GACGAACGCUGGCGGCGUGCUUAACACAUGCAAGUCGAACGGCAAGGCCCUGCUUGCUGGGUACUCGAGUGGCGAACGGGCGAGUAACACGUGGGUGAUCUGCACUGCACUUCGGGAUAAGCCUGGGCAACUGGGUCUAAUACCGGAUAGGAGCCAUUUCUAGCGUGAUGGUUGGAAAGUUUUUUCGGUGUAGGAUGAGCUCGCGGCCUAUCAGCUUGUUGGUGGGGUAAUGGCCUACCAAGGCGGCGACGGGUAGCCGGCCUGAGAGGGUGGACGGCCACAUUGGGACUGAGAUGCGGCCCAGACUCCUACUGGAGGCAGCAGUGGGGAAUAUUGCACAAUGGGCACAAGCCUGAUGCAGCGGCGCCGCGUGGUGGAUGACGGCCUUCGGGUUGUAAACUCCUUUCGCUAUGGACGAAGCUUUUUGUGACGGUACCUAGAUAAGAAGCACCGGCUAACUACGUG
RNAcentral lists this ribosomal RNA (465 nucleotides) under uncultured bacterium. Its description in RNAcentral is "partial 16S ribosomal RNA". It matches the Rfam family "Bacterial small subunit ribosomal RNA", at positions 28 to 507 of the family's 1533-position model. The record is from RNAcentral.